GAAAUUGUCUCUUUCGUGGACGGAGGGAGUAUAUGUGAUACAAAGGCUAUUUAAAUAGAUAUAGCUAUUGAGUGCAAUAUUGUGAAUUUAUCAGCACCGUCUUUUAACUAAAAGUAGGAUUUAUCGGUGUCGUUCAGUCACGAUAAAAAAAAAGAUAUCUAUUUGCUCCUCUUCUAAAGAUGCUAAACAUGUCUAAAUGAUGUAUUCAUAAUGGUCUACCGAGAGUGCAGUGUCAUAGAUCUGUGGGCAAACCCACUUGAUAAAUAGACAUGACUAAUGAGUGUAG
Molecule: long non-coding RNA, 286 nt
Filed under: Sorghum bicolor (sorghum)
Lineage: Eukaryota; Viridiplantae; Streptophyta; Magnoliopsida; Poales; Poaceae
Description: long non-coding RNA (SBIC_LNC013214)
Source: RNAcentral